AUUGACGCUGGCGGAAUGCUUUACGAUCAUGCGUAGUCGAACGGUAGAGAGGUCACUGCUUCAGAGUGGCGAACGGGUGAGUAAUAUAUCGGAACGUGUCCAGUCGUGGGGGAUAACGUAGUGAAAAUUACGCUAAUGCCGCAUACGAUCUAAGGAUGAAAGCGGGGGAUCGCAAGACCUCGCGCGACUGGAGCGGCCGAUAGCAGAUUAGGUAGUUGGUAGGGUAAAGGCCUACCAAGCCAACGAUCUGAUAGCUGGUCUCAGAGGACGACCAGCCACACUGGAACUGAGACACGGUCCAGACUCCUACGGGAGGCAGCAGUGGGGAAUUUUGGACAAUGGGCGAAAGCCUGAUCCAGCCAUUCCGCGUGCAGGAUGAAGGCCCUCGGGUUGUAAACUGCUUUUGUACAGAACGAAAAGGUUUCUAUUAAUACUAGGAGCUCAUGACGGUACUGUAAGAAUAAG
This 465-nucleotide ribosomal RNA is filed under the name uncultured Comamonadaceae bacterium. RNAcentral describes it as "bacterial SSU rRNA". It matches the Rfam family "Bacterial small subunit ribosomal RNA", at positions 29 to 490 of the family's 1533-position model. The record is from RNAcentral. Lineage: Bacteria; Pseudomonadati; Pseudomonadota; Betaproteobacteria; Burkholderiales; Comamonadaceae.